Molecule: ribosomal RNA, 1495 nt
Filed under: uncultured bacterium
Lineage: Bacteria
Description: 16S ribosomal RNA
Rfam family: Bacterial small subunit ribosomal RNA
Source: RNAcentral
AGAGUUUGAUCCUGGCUCAGGACGAACGUUGGCGGCGUGCUUAACACAUGCAAGUCGAGCGGUUGAGAGGAAAAUGGNNNNNNNNNNNNNNNNNNNNNNGAUGAAAGCGGCGGACGGGUGAGUAACGCGUAGGCAACCUACCUUAUGCAAAGGGAUAGCCUCGGGAAACUGGGAUUAAUACCUUAUAAUACUUUGGUAUCGCAUGAUUCUAAAGUCAAAGAUUUAUCGGUAUAAGAUGGGCCUGCGUCUGAUUAGCUAGUUGGUAAGGUAACGGCUUACCAAGGCGACGAUCAGUAGCCGACCUGAGAGGGUGAUCGGCCACACUGGAACUGAGACACGGUCCAGACUCCUACGGGAGGCAGCAGUGGGGAAUAUUGCACAAUGGGCGAAAGCCUGAUGCAGCAACGCCGCGUGAGCGAUGAAGGCCUUCGGGUCGUAAAGCUCUGUCCUAAGGGAAGAAAAGAAUGACGGUACCUUAGGAGGAAGCCCCGGCUAACUACGUGCCAGCAGCCGCGGUAAUACGUAGGGGGCAAGCGUUAUCCGGAAUUAUUGGGCGUAAAGAGUGCGUAGGCGGAUUUACAAGCCUUUGGUGAAAGGCUACGGCUUAACCGUAGUAAGCCUUAGGAACUGUAAGUCUUGAGUGCAGGAGAGGAAAGCGGAAUUCCUAGUGUAGCGGUGAAAUGCGUAGAUAUUAGGAGGAACACCAGUGGCGAAGGCGGUUGCCUGGCCUGUAACUGACGCUGAGGCUCGAAAGCGUGGGGAGCAAAUAGGAUUAGAUACCCUAGUAGUCCACGCUGUAAACGAUGAAUACUAAGUGUUGGAGCGCAAGCCUCCGUGCCGCCGUUAACACAAUAAGUAUUCCACCUGGGGAGUACGGCCGCAAGGUUGAAACUCAAAGGAAUUGACGGGAGCCCGCACAAGCAGUGGAGUAUGUGGUUUAAUUCGAAGCAACGCGAAGAACCUUACCAGAGCUUGACAUACCGCGCAAGGCCCUGGAGACAGUGCAAGUUUACUUGCACACGGAGACAGGUGGUGCAUGGUUGUCGUCAGCUCGUGUCGUGAGAUGUUGGGUUAAGUCCCGCAACGAGCGCAACCCUUAUUGCUAGUUGCCAGCACGUAAUGGUGGGCACUCUAGUGAGACUGCCGGAGACAAUUCGGAGGAAGGUGGGGAUGACGUCAAAUCAUCAUGCCCCUUAUGUUCUGGGCUACACACGUGCUACAAUGGGUGUAACAACGGGAAGCAAGCUGGCAACAGCAAGCCAAUCCCUGAAAAGCACCCUCAGUUCGGAUUGUAGGCUGAAACCCGCCUACAUGAAGUUGGAGUUGCUAGUAAUCGCGAAUCAGCAUGUCGCGGUGAAUACGUUCCCGGGCCUUGUACACACCGCCCGUCACACCACGAAAGUCGGCAACACCCGAAGCCGGUGACUCAACCCGAAAGGGAGAGAGCCGUCGAAGGUGGGGUUGGUAAUUGGGGUGAAGUCGUAACAAGGUAACC